This is a long non-coding RNA of Lolium rigidum, 298 nucleotides long. RefSeq lists it as uncharacterized. Lineage: Eukaryota; Viridiplantae; Streptophyta; Magnoliopsida; Poales; Poaceae. The record is from RefSeq and is a predicted model, not a curated record. The transcript has 3 exons.
AAGUUUAAUUCGAGUAAAUGGGCACCUGAUUUGAAGGAGGCGGUCGAAGAGCUGCAGGGAGUAGACGCCCUCCUAUAGAAAAAACAUGGCUGAUUCGAGAGGGGAAGAGGGUGAUGGUGCAUCAGCUAGUGAUUACAUACCUGAACUAUGUGAACCUGAAUUUCGAUGAUGAUCCUCCUUCGACGUCCCUUGCUAGUUUGUUUGAGGAGAAUGAGCAGGUUGAAAAAUGCUUGAGGUUAUUUAUAUGAAUGCUUUCUUCUCGCAAUACUUUUCAGUGGCACUGGAUGUUGAUGACCAC